This is a long non-coding RNA of Diceros bicornis minor, 878 nucleotides long. RefSeq lists it as uncharacterized. The transcript has 4 exons. The record is from RefSeq and is a predicted model, not a curated record. Lineage: Eukaryota; Metazoa; Chordata; Mammalia; Perissodactyla; Rhinocerotidae.
UGGGCGGUGUCGCUGAGCCGCGGCGGCGGAGCGGAGUGGAGUGUAGCCUCUCUCUGCUGCCUGCUCCCAGGCUCGCUCCUUCUCCUGGCGUCUGUCGACCCCCUCCAUGUCCCCGGUGGGCACAGCACCCCGGAACCUCCACGCCCACGCCCACUAGCCUGAGGAGGCCCUCCUUCACGUCCGGUUCUUGCUCCUCGACCGACGCAGACGACGAGGGCGUGCGCGGCGCCUGCGAGGAUGCUUCUGUCUGCAGGAGGAGGUACCUGUCAAGUCGUGCGACGGCUGUGCAGUGCACGGAGCGGGGGUUCGCUGGUUGAGCUCACGUUUACCUGACCUGUGACGUGUGCCGGGCGCGGUGCCAGCCUGGGGAUGCGGUGACCCGGAGUCAGGCGCUGAACCAGCGGACGUGGUCGUGGCUCUUGGAGCUCAAGUCUUGCUAGAAGGACAGACGUGAAGCAACGAGUAACGACAGUCUUGUGGCUGCACCAGUUUGAAGCAACCUAAGUGCCCAUCAAUGAAUGAGUGGAUAAAGAAGAUGUGAUACAUAUAUACAAUGGAAUGUAUAUACUCAGCCGUAAAGAAAGAGAAAAUCAUGCCAUUUGCAACAACAUGGAUGGACCUUGAAGAAACACAGUGUUGCCUGUAAGAAAGACGUUGGACUUGGAAGUCAGACCCGAGUUCCCCUGCAGCACCCAUCAGCUGUGGGGCCUCCUCCUUGGAGCCUGUUUCCUCAUCUAUAAGAUGGUGUUGCACAUGCGUCCCGCGUAGAGUUCUGGUUAAGAUUACACGUGUGCGUAUUUACACAGCAGUGAAACCAUGAAGUAGCCAUUAUCCUUUAAAAAUUUUUUGAAGAAAAUCUUGAUUUUCCACCUCAUAGA